Molecule: long non-coding RNA, 1767 nt
Filed under: Pelobates cultripes (western spadefoot toad)
Lineage: Eukaryota; Metazoa; Chordata; Amphibia; Anura; Pelobatidae
Source: RNAcentral
AAUACAAGCAUUGUCAUAACGACUGAGUACAAACUAUUUAAUGAAAAAAGGAAAGAAAAGACAAAAUGCACACAAUGUAAAAAUAAAGUAAUUGCUGUAUAAAAUUUUACCUAAUUGCUGUGACUGAAGGGCAUCACCACCCAACUUUUAGGCACCAAUGGCCUUUGUGCAAAGGUGUGCAGUUGAUUUGUAUUGAGACUGAUUCCCUUACCCGAUUGAUUGAUGACAAAAUUAUCCCAAUUAGGGCCUGUACAUUUUUACACCCUAUCUUGGGUUAUCAAGGGGGAUUUGGAUUCCUGGAAUUCCAGACCGAUCUUAUGGAUUGGUUGGAUACACUUUGUUAAAAUGAACAUACUACCUUAUAUUCUUUUCCUCUUCCAGGCCCUCCAAAUUUUUAUUCUGAGAAGGGACUUGGAUAAAUUGCAGUGUGCUAUUGAUGCCUUUAUUUGUAGUAAUUGGAGGCACAGAAAUGCUAGAAGGGUGGUGUAUUGACAAAUGGUCAUAUAAGGUCUCUUACCUCUAAUUCAAUCUCCUAUGACUUCUUUCCCCCACAACACAUAUUUACCCCCAGGUAUAGUUUCUAGAGAUUUAGGUAGACUAGAGAAUACUGGCUAUCAGAGGUUUUACCAUUUAUACCAGGGUGAUUCUUUAGUUCCCUCAUUGGCGCUUAAUUAGUUGACCCAUUUCUCCUCCAAAGUUCAUUUUAGACAUUAAUUUUUAUUUUAGCUUAUUUUCAGGAUCUUUGCAGGUCAGGAAAAGGUAGCUGUUGCAGCUGAGACUGAAAUUACCUUUUAUGAGUCCUUAUGUCAUGUGAUAGGGGCACUGUUUAGAAAGAUCUUGUUACUUUGCUAUACAGCACACACUGCUCCAACUCUGUAAAAUGGGGUGACCUAUUGUAGUCAUUGGGAGCAACACCUAAAUGAGCCUCAGGUAGUUUGUUUAGGAAGGUUUUUGAGAAGCUGCCAGUGGAAUUUCCAUCUAUGUUUUUUUACAGGAGCAAUUGUUCAAGAUAUUAAUGAGGUGGUACACUGUAACACUAUUAGCAUCCUGAAGCUCCAAGGGAAUAUUUUCACAUAUGCAGUCAUCUAAUUUUGGUGCAGUGUUUAGCAUUUAUUGUCUAAUGUGUUUUCACAGAUGAUUUAUAUGCAGAAUAAAUAACGGUUCAGGCACUCCGGGAUCAAAGAAAAGGCAGUUUUAUUGUGGCAAAAGCAGCAACGUUUCUACCAUAUCGGGUCUUCAUCAAGCGGUCAAAACGUUGCUGCUUUUGCUCCAAUAAAGCUGUUAUUUCUGUUAUCCCGGAGUUUCUGAACCGUUAUUUAUUUUGCAUAUCUUGGAAGGGCAGGCCUUGCUAGCCCUGGCUUCAAAGCACAUGGGUUAGUUUGUGAGUACGGUAUCCAGUAUGUGUCUUCACAGAUCCGUUGACCUGAACACAUGGUCCUUCUUGUUUUCCAGGCCCAUUGUUAGUUUUCCUUCGCCCCCUCCAAAACUACUUUAACAAAAUAAUGUUAGUGGCAAGGGCUUUCUUGUCAUGUUGGUUACAAUCCAGGGUCACCUUCAUCCCUAGGAUAAAGUUAAGAUAAUGGAAAACCUGUCUCUUGCAUUGGCUGACAUAUCAAAAGUCCUGGUCACCUUUUACUCCAUUAGGUGUUGUGUUGUACAUUAUAGGUGUGUGGGUUUUUUUUUCUGUUCUCUUUAUCUUCUCAUUUUCACUAAAUUCAGAAUGUCUGCAAGUGCCUAUGGUCCUUUCCUGUAUCUAUGCAAUGUAUU